CUGGGUGGAUUAGUGGCGAACGGGUGAGUAACACGUGAGUAACCUGCCCUUAACUCUGGGAUAAGCCUGGGAAACUGGGUCUAAUACCGGAUAGGAGCGCCUACCGCAUGGUGGGUGUUGGAAAGUUUCGGCGGUUGGGGAUGGACUCGCGGCUUAUCAGCUUGUUGGUGGGGUAGUGGCUUACCAAGGCUUUGACGGGUAGCCGGCCUGAGAGGGUGACCGGCCACAUUGGGACUGAGAUACGGCCCAG
This 250-nucleotide ribosomal RNA is filed under the name uncultured Actinomycetales bacterium. RNAcentral's name for it is "partial 16S ribosomal RNA". It matches the Rfam family "Bacterial small subunit ribosomal RNA", at positions 83 to 334 of the family's 1533-position model. The record is from RNAcentral. Lineage: Bacteria; Bacillati; Actinomycetota; Actinomycetes; Actinomycetales.